UGUCACGCCCCGCCCCGAAACCACUACCAAUUUGGCACGGCUCGGCCGCGGCGGCGGACCGCCGAACGGACAGCACCUCCCUUGUCCGCCCAAGGCUCAACGACAGGAAUGUGUACAAAAAUUUACCCAGGACUUUAAAUUCUAAUAUACACAUUCAACGAGGGCACAAACAGUGCCAACAACAAGAAGAGCAAGUAAACCACAAGAUAUACGAGUGAAAUAAAG
This 225-nucleotide long non-coding RNA is filed under the name Ananas comosus (pineapple). RNAcentral's name for it is "long non-coding RNA (ACOM_LNC039245)". The record is from RNAcentral. Lineage: Eukaryota; Viridiplantae; Streptophyta; Magnoliopsida; Poales; Bromeliaceae.